RNAcentral lists this ribosomal RNA (496 nucleotides) under uncultured bacterium. RNAcentral's name for it is "partial 16S ribosomal RNA". It matches the Rfam family "Bacterial small subunit ribosomal RNA", at positions 28 to 507 of the family's 1533-position model. The record is from RNAcentral.
GAUGAACGCUGGCGGCGUGCCUAAUACAUGCAAGUCGAGCGAACAGACGAGGAGCUUGCUCCUCUGACGUUAGCGGCGGACGGGUGAGUAACACGUGGAUAACCUACCUAUAAGACUGGGAUACUUCGGGAAACCGGAGCUAAUACCGGAUAAUAUAUUGAACCGCAUGGUUCAAUAGUGAAAGACGGUUUUGCUGUCACUUAUAGAUGGAUCCGCGCCGCAUUAGCUAGUUGGUAAGGUAACGGCUUACCAAGGCAACGAUGCGUAGCCGACCUGAGAGGGUGAUCGGCCACACUGGAGCUGAGACACGGUCCAGACUCCUACGGGAGGCAGCAGUAGGGAAUCUUCCGCAAUGGGCGAAAGCCUGACGGAGCAACGCCGCGUGAGUGAUGAAGGUCUUCGGAUCGUAAAACUCUGUUAUUAGGGAAGAACAAAUGUGUAAGUAACUAUGCACGUCUUGACGGUACCUAAUCAGAAAGCCACGGCUAACUACGUG